GGCUCAAUGGUCUAGAGGUAUGAUUCAAGCUUCGGGUCCACAGACGUAGAAUGCUUGAGGUCUCGGGUUCGAUUCCCGAUUGAGCCC
Molecule: non-coding RNA, 87 nt
Organism: Cryphonectria parasitica EP155
Lineage: Eukaryota; Fungi; Ascomycota; Sordariomycetes; Diaporthales; Cryphonectriaceae
Source: the annotation of a RefSeq genome assembly